ACGGGUGAGUAACACGUGAGUAACCUGCCCUUGACUCUGGGAUAAGCCUGGGAAACUGGGUCUAAUACCGGAUAUGACCAUCUGACGCAUGUCAUGGUGGUGGAAAGCUUUUGUGGUUUUGGAUGGACUCGCGGCCUAUCAGCUUGUUGGUGGGGUAAUGGCCUACCAAGGCGACGACGGGUAGCCGGCCUGAGAGGGUGACCGGCCACACUGGGACUGAGACACGGCCCAGACUCCUACGGGAGGCAGCAGUGGGGAAUAUUGCACAAUGGGCGGAAGCCUGAUGCAGCGACGCCGCGUGAGGGAUGACGGCCUUCGGGUUGUAAACCUCUUUCAGUAGGGAAGAAGCGAAAGUGACGGUACCUGCAGAAGAAGCGCCGGCUAACUACGUGCCAGCAGCCGCGGUAAUACGUAGGGCGCAAGCGUUAUCCGGAAUUAUUGGGCGUAAAGAGCUCGUAGGCGGUUUGUCGCGUCUGCUGUGAAAGACCGGGGCUCAACUCCGGUUCUGCAGUGGGUACGGGCAGACUAGAGUGCAGUAGGGGAGACUGGAAUUCCUGGUGUAGCGGUGAAAUGCGCAGAUAUCAGGAGGAACACCGAUGGCGAAGGCAGGUCUCUGGGCUGUAACUGACGCUGAGGAGCGAAAGCAUGGGGAGCGAACAGGAUUAGAUACCCUGGUAGUCCAUGCCGUAAACGUUGGGCACUAGGUGUGGGGGACAUUCCACGUUUUCCGCGCCGUAGCUAACGCAUUAAGUGCCCCGCCUGGGGAGUACGGCCGCAAGGCUAAAACUCAAAGGAAUUGACGGGGGCCCGCACAAGCGGCGGAGCAUGCGGAUUAAUUCGAUGCAACGCGAAGAACCUUACCAAGGCUUGACAUGAACCGGAAAGACCUGGAAACAGGUGCCCCGCUUGCGGUCGGUUUACAGGUGGUGCAUGGUUGUCGUCAGCUCGUGUCGUGAGAUGUUGGGUUAAGUCCCGCAACGAGCGCAACCCUCGUUCUAUGUUGCCAGCGCGUUAUGGCGGGGACUCAUAGGAGACUGCCGGGGUCAACUCGGAGGAAGGUGGGGACGACGUCAAAUCAUCAUGCCCCUUAUGUCUUGGGCUUCACGCAUGCUACAAUGGCCGGUACAAAGGGUUGCGAUACUGUGAGGUGGAGCUAAUCCCAAAAAGCCGGUCUCAGUUCGGAUUGGGGUCUGCAACUCGACCCCAUGAAGUCGGAGUCGCUAGUAAUCGCAGAUCAGCAACGCUGCGGUGAAUACGUUCCCGGGCCUUGUACACACCGCCCGUCAAGUCACGAAA
Molecule: ribosomal RNA, 1296 nt
Filed under: Paenarthrobacter sp.
Lineage: Bacteria; Bacillati; Actinomycetota; Actinomycetes; Micrococcales; Micrococcaceae
Description: bacterial SSU rRNA
Rfam family: Bacterial small subunit ribosomal RNA
Source: RNAcentral